CUCGUUAUAAUCUUCAGUUGUGUGUGUUCAGGGUGAGUGUGUUGUGUGUUGUGUGUUGAGGAUGAGUGUGUGUGUGUUCAGGAUGAAGUGUGUUGUGUGUUCAGGAUGAAGUGUGUUGUGUGUUGUGUGGUCAGGGUGAAGUGUGUUGUGUGUUCAGGAUGAGUGGUGUUGUGGUGUUCAGGAUGAAGUGUGUUUUGUGGUGUUGUGUGUUCAGGGUGAAGUGUGUUGUGUGUUCAGGAUGAAGUGUGUUGUGUGUUCAGGAUGAAGUGUGGUUUGUGUUGUGUGUUCAGGAUGAAGUGUGUUGUGUGUUCAGGAUGAAGUGUGUUGUGUGUGUUCAGGGUGAAGUGUGUUGUGUGUUGUGUGUU
Ictalurus punctatus (channel catfish) is the source of this 365-nucleotide long non-coding RNA. Lineage: Eukaryota; Metazoa; Chordata; Actinopteri; Siluriformes; Ictaluridae. The record is from Ensembl.